Molecule: transfer RNA, 73 nt
Filed under: Nyctereutes procyonoides (raccoon dog)
Lineage: Eukaryota; Metazoa; Chordata; Mammalia; Carnivora; Canidae
Also listed under: 1 other name
Rfam family: tRNA
About the family: Transfer RNA (tRNA) molecules are approximately 80 nucleotides in length. Their secondary structure includes four short double-helical elements and three loops (D, anti-codon, and T loops).
Source: Rfam by way of RNAcentral
GCCUGGCUGGCUCAGUUGGUAGAGCGUGUGACUCUUGAUCAUGGGAUUAUGAGUUCAAACCCCAUGUUGGACA